UAUUUGACACUAUAAAAGGGAUUACCUUCCAAGACAUUCAAGUUCAUAAGUUUAGAAAUUCAAAAUUUUAAAUCUGCUGAGAAAAUUUUUAAGACUAAUAACUUUCUCCAAAAUCUCAAGGAAGGAAUCUCUAAAGAAGUAAAAAAAAUUGAAAGAAAAAAAAAAACUUAAAAAAUGCCACAUCAAUUCUGAAGAAAAAUACUUUUUAAUCUUGUUCAAUCGGCCAAAAAGAGAGAGCUAAAUUCGUUCUUUAAGUAGAAUCUUUCAACCAAGAUCAAGUUUU
RNAcentral lists this long non-coding RNA (283 nucleotides) under Gossypium barbadense (sea-island cotton). RNAcentral describes it as "long non-coding RNA (GBAR_LNC009425)". The record is from RNAcentral. Lineage: Eukaryota; Viridiplantae; Streptophyta; Magnoliopsida; Malvales; Malvaceae.